RNAcentral lists this ribosomal RNA (264 nucleotides) under uncultured archaeon. RNAcentral's name for it is "partial 16S ribosomal RNA". It matches the Rfam family "Archaeal small subunit ribosomal RNA", at positions 714 to 982 of the family's 1478-position model. The record is from RNAcentral.
AGACGUCUACAUUAGAUACCCCUGUAGUCCCAGCCGUAAACUAUGCGCGUUAGGUGUAUCGGUGACCACGAGUUACCGAGGUGCCGAAGGGAAACCGUGAAACGUGCCGCCUGGGAAGUACGGUCGCAAGGCUGAAACUUAAAGGAAUUGGCGGGGAGCACCACAACGGGUGGAGCCUGUGGUUUAAUUGGACUCAACGCCGGGAAGCUCACCGGAUAAGACAGCGGAAUGAUUGCCGGGCUGAAGACUCUGCAUGACUAGCUG